GUGUCAGCAGCCGCGGUAAUACAGAGGUCCCAAGCGUUGUUCGGAUUCACUGGGCGUAAAGGGUGCGUAGGUGGUGAAGUAAGUCGGAUGUGAAAUCUCGGAGCUUAACUCCGAAACUGCAUUGGAAACUACUUUGCUCGAGGGUUGGAGGGGGGACUGGAAUUCUCGGUGUAGCAGUGAAAUGCGUAGAUAUCAAGCGGAACACCAGUGGCGAAGGCGAGUCCCUGGACAACUCCUGACACUGAGGCACGAAAGCUAGGGGAGCGAAUGGGAUUAGAUACCCUGGUAGUCC
RNAcentral lists this ribosomal RNA (292 nucleotides) under uncultured bacterium. RNAcentral describes it as "partial 16S ribosomal RNA". It matches the Rfam family "Bacterial small subunit ribosomal RNA", at positions 505 to 796 of the family's 1533-position model. The record is from RNAcentral.